GAUGAACGCUAGCGGCAGGCUUAAUACAUGCAAGUCGUGGGGCAGCAGGGGUAGCAAUACCCGCUGGCGACCGGCAAACGGGUGCGGAACACGUACACAACCUUCCUUAAAGUGGGGAAUAGCCCAGGGAAACUUGGAUUAAUACCCCGUAAUAUUAUUGAAUGGCAUCAUUUGAUAAUUAUAGCUCCGGCGCUUAAAGAUGGGUGUGCGGCUGAUUAGGUAGUUGGCGGGGUAACGGCCCACCAAGCCUGCGAUCAGUAACUGGUGUGAGAGCACGACCAGUCACACGGGCACUGAGACACGGGCCCGACUCCUACGGGAGGCAGCAGUAAGGAAUAUUGGUCAAUGGACGCAAGUCUGAACCAGCCAUGCCGCGUGGAGGAUGAAGGUCCUCUGGAUUGUAAACUUCUUUUAUCUGGGAAGAAACCCAAGGUUUCUACUUUGGUUGACGGUACCAGAUGAAUAAGCACCGGCUAACUCCGUGC
Molecule: ribosomal RNA, 485 nt
Filed under: uncultured bacterium
Lineage: Bacteria
Description: bacterial SSU rRNA
Rfam family: Bacterial small subunit ribosomal RNA
Source: RNAcentral